AUCAACCCCAGCAGAAACUCCAUCUCACUCACCGACGAGGUCAACUAUAGCGUGCACGUCCACCCGGUAAGAAUCAACCACAGCAGUAACUCCAGUUCACUCACCAAUGAGGUCAACUCUAGUGUGCAUGCCACUAGGCGUGGGACAUUUUACAAUUUUCUGGAAACGAUUACAAACUUAUUUGCGCAACACAUAGACUAUACACGCCUUUGACCCGUUACUAUGGCGGUCAUCUCUGAAAGAUGCUUAACUUUUUUUUUUUUCUAAAUGUUAAAAAAUAUGCUGGCAAGUACUUGUUUACUCAAGUAAGCGCCCCCACCCGUAAUGGUUACCCUGUUAGAGUCUGUUCAGAUGGACAGCAGAAUGCUGAAUAGAGAAGAGAUGGCUUUUUAUUACUCCUAUUGAGCAGACUUCAAUAGGAGCCUGGAGCCUCGUAAUUUAGCUAUUGCUAAACAUCAAGCUUGCAUCUCCGGAGAACAUUUUGCCAGAUGUGUUUUUUCAUCACCUCCAUGGGUUUGAAAAAUAAGCUUGGUCUGUUUAUUGUACAAAGCAUUUAUAAAUCAGCCUUGGUAUGGAGUUACUCUACAUUCAAACAAACCAUAUUGUGGGAUCAUUUUAUAAUUCCUUAUUUUCAGGAGCAUGGAGUUAAUGUCAAAUUCCAGU
Long non-coding RNA from Anguilla anguilla (European eel), 663 nucleotides. RefSeq lists it as uncharacterized. The transcript has 2 exons. The record is from RefSeq and is a predicted model, not a curated record. Lineage: Eukaryota; Metazoa; Chordata; Actinopteri; Anguilliformes; Anguillidae.